GGGCGAACGCUGGCGGCAGGCUUAACACAUGCAAGUCGAGCGGGCGUAGCAAUACGUCAGCGGCAGACGGGUGAGUAACGCGUGGGAACGUACCUUUUGGUUCGGAACAACACAGGGAAACUUGUGCUAAUACCGGAUAAGCCCUUACGGGGGAAAGAUUUAUCGCCGAAAGAUCGGCCCGCGUCUGAUUAGCUAGUUGGUGAGGUAACGGCUCACCAAGGCGACGAUCAGUAGCUGGUCUGAGAGGAUGAUCAGCCACAUUGGGACUGAGACACGGCCCAAAACUCCUACGGGAGGCAGCAGUGGGGAAUAUUGGACAAUGGGCGCAAGCCUGAUCCAGCCAUGCCGCGUGAGUGAUGAAGG
RNAcentral lists this ribosomal RNA (363 nucleotides) under uncultured bacterium. RNAcentral's name for it is "bacterial SSU rRNA". It matches the Rfam family "Bacterial small subunit ribosomal RNA", at positions 27 to 414 of the family's 1533-position model. The record is from RNAcentral.